AACGAACACUGGCGGCGUGGUUUAGGCAUGCAAGUCGAACGUGAAAGUCCCUUCGGGGAUGAGUAAAGUGGCGAACGGGUGAGUAACGCGUGGGAAACCUUCCCUUCGAUGGGGGAUAACAGUUCUAACGAGCUGCUAAUACCGCAUACGACCCUUGGAUCGCAUGGUCCGGGGGUGAAAGGGGGCGAUCUCUUCGGAGAGCUCCCGUCGAUGGAUGGUCCCGCGUCCCAUUAGCUAGUUGGCGGGGUAAUGGCCCACCAAGGCGACGAUGGGUAGCCGGCCUGAGAGGGUGUCCGGCCACACUGGGACUGAGAUACGGCCCAGACUCCUACGGGAGGCAGCAGUCGAGAAGCUUCGGCAAUGGGCGAAAGCCUGACCGAGCGACGCCGCGUGAGCGAAGAAGGCCCUAUGGGUUGUAAAGCUCUGUCAGAUUGGGAAGAAAACCUCGCGGUUAAUACCCGCGAGGCCUGACGGUACCAUCAGAGGAAGCACCGGCUAACCCCGUG
Molecule: ribosomal RNA, 506 nt
Filed under: uncultured organism
Description: bacterial SSU rRNA
Rfam family: Bacterial small subunit ribosomal RNA
Source: RNAcentral